UUUGUCCACGCCCGGGAAAGCGAAAUUCAUCCAAGCAAACUUUGCAGCUCAUUUUAAUCAGCCUCAAUGGGGUUAGGUUACGCUUUGGGCGUGCGGGUUUGGUGCAUGUGCGCGGGCGCGCGCCCACCUGCCGGCCUGAAGUCUUAUUUACUGUCAUAAAUAUUCAUUGUCAUAUUUGGCAUUUAGAUUGAUGCUAAUGUAAAAUGUUUGCAAACUAACCCCAAAGUCCCGGCGGGAGGGUGAGCCGUGCAGUGUACAAGCUACGUGCAGCUUCCACCGACAGUUCAAGCAGUUCAAGGAGCCCAAAGAGAGGGUGGGGAGGAGGAUGGAGAGUUCGUAAAUCCCAUUUCCGCUGCCAACUUGCCGUGCCACAGUGACGCGAGCCUUGUAAAAGGUGAGUAAGCGAAACAGACACCUGAGUGCAGUUCAUUCCGAUGCCAACCGGACAGUGCAGUGCCGGGGAUCCUCCUUAUCGCCGGCAGCAGCCCUUACCGAACCAAAGCCCAUCGCACAGUGAUCAGUCGGCGUGAAUAGUGGCGAUGAUACCGUACGUAUCGUCUUCUAAUUGUGUGACUAGCGGGCGUUCAUAAAUUAACAAACAACGAAAUCCGGAUGGCAGAAACCAGGGGCAGCACGGGGCUUAGCAGCUGACGAUUGCAUCGAAACCGGGCUGCAAUGCACAAGUAAUCCAUUCCGUGUACACACACACACACACACACUGCCGGUGCCACAGUGAACCGGCUGAAAGGCCGGUAUCAUGUAUCAUGUCGAGUGGGGCAUACGAGUGGGACCGUUGAAGCUGGGCCCCUUUCCUGGCGCUGGACAAGCGUUAGCUUUCAAUAUUUAAUUAACGGAGUUUCGUGUGGAUGAUCCGUACGCGUGUGUCAGUGUUUGUAUCGGAACGUUUGAUAUGAUGCAUAAGGGCCUUGCUUCGU
Anopheles merus is the source of this 935-nucleotide long non-coding RNA. RefSeq lists it as uncharacterized. The transcript has 3 exons. The record is from RefSeq and is a predicted model, not a curated record. Lineage: Eukaryota; Metazoa; Arthropoda; Insecta; Diptera; Culicidae.